Molecule: long non-coding RNA, 676 nt
Organism: Drosophila erecta
Lineage: Eukaryota; Metazoa; Arthropoda; Insecta; Diptera; Drosophilidae
Exons: 3
Source: RefSeq, a predicted model, not a curated record
GGUAUUUGCUACGAUAGGAGCUUGCAUUCGCUUAAGUGUGACCGUUAGAUGUUUGGUCUGACGUAAUUUUGUAGCAGUCAGCUUUUCGAGCGCCAAAUUCAAAUUCAUCUAAUUUAAGAGCUAAAUUAUGUACAUUACAGCGGUAAUCACAGACGUGAAGGUUAAUCACAUCUCAAAACACCUAUUAACACUAAAUGACGCCGUUAGCAAAAUUGCGGCAUAAUCAGAUGCGCGUGCAUUCAACGGUAAUGCGAUGCUGCAAGACAGGGUCGCUGGAUCGGGGAUAUAUAGGAUUACCGUUGCGAAGCACGAACGCCUUAAUUAGCUCUGCGAGAAGCGCAAAAAAAUACAAAACAAAGCAGCAUAAGCUUGCUUAUUUUACGCUGCGAAGUCAACAUACGCCAUUCGAGGAAGUAAAGCGUUAACCGUGUGUUGACAUGCCCCUUUAGCUUUUCCAACAAUCAUCACCCAAAAGUAUGUAUGGGUGUACACAGGACUCUACAAAAUGGCCGCAAGGACGCGAACUUCCCGUCGUGACCGUGAACUUGGCGUUGCCCUAAAUGAAGUAAGCGACUCAAUUUGAUUUCCUCGCCUCGUUUACCUGCCGCUCUUUACUCCUGAUAAUUUUAAUCAUCAAAGAAGGAAAAUUACUACAGCCUCACACAGCGGGAAAAUG